Molecule: non-coding RNA, 31 nt
Filed under: Mus musculus (house mouse)
Lineage: Eukaryota; Metazoa; Chordata; Mammalia; Rodentia; Muridae
Source: RNAcentral
UGAACUGGAAACACUGGUGGAAGCACACAGU